CCACAUCUGCAGCAUGUAGAAUUCCUUGGCCAGGGAUAGAAUCCAUGUCACAGCAGCAACCCAAGCCACAACAGUGACAAUGCCAGAAACUUAAUCCGCUGCAUCACCUGGAAACUCCUAUUCAUCCCUGUUUAAAUCAAAAGUCUUGGAGUUCCCACUGUAGCUCAACAGGCUAAGAAUCUGACAUAGUCUCCAUGAGGAUGUGGGUUCGAUCCCUGACCUUGGUUGGUAGGUUAUGGAUCUGGCAUUGCUACAAGCUGUGGCAAAGGUCACAGAUGGGGUUCAGAUCUGGUAUUGCUGUGGCUGUGGUGUAGGCCAGGAGGUGCAGCUCCGAUUUGACCCCUAGCUUGGGAAUUUCCAUAUGCCAUAGGUGCGGUCCUAAAAAGAAAACAACAAAAAAAAAAUUCAAAAGUCCCUGCUGACACCUGUUUACAACUGAGAGUAUUCUCUUUCAUUUUCAAAAGGGUCUCAGCCCUUUAGAUCCUGAUCAAACCAUGUACAUAAAUAUUUGUAUUUAUCUACAGUCAUAUUCACAUAUUUGUGAGAUAAGCCAAAAUUACAACCAUGACAAGCUACUUGAUGAUACUGAGCAUCAUUAUUACAUUUUCGGUAUGCUAUUGGUAAUUGUGGUUUUAUUUUGAAUAAGGCCUCUUAUCUAAAUGAUACAUAUUGAAAUAUCUAUGUAUAAAGUGGUGAUAUAUUAUCUGGAAUUUGCUUCACAUUAAUAAGUGAAGGGGAAGUGAAUGGCCUUAGGGAUGAGGCAGAAAUGCCCUUGGGUUGACGGCUGUGGGCUUAAGGUGGUUAAAUGGGUCUUCAUUAUACUUCCCUACUGCAUACAUGUUCAAAAUGCUCCAUAAUAAAACAAAACAAAACAAAAGCCUGGUAUAGAUGUGAUCACUGCAGUCUAAACCAACGUUUCACAGGAAGAAGACUUGAUGCUAGAGGGCAUUUUCCUUUCCAGCUUCAUUUCUUACCAAUUCACUCUUGAUAUUCUACACCCCAGCAAUAAAGAAUAGAUGAUUCUGUGCUCUUUUAAAGUCACAUUCUUAUACACUUCUGUGCCUCUGCCCUUCUUCUACGUGCUUGGAAAAUCUUCCCCAGCUUUUCGCCCAUACCUCAAAACACUUUGGUUAGCCUUAAACUGAGACCCCAGUUCUGGCUCAGGGGCCUCUCCUCUGAGAUCACAGAGCAGGCACCAGGUCUAUCACACUCCUUAUCACACUGUGUAAUUAACGGCUUCUUUUCGUCUUUCUUCCCAAGAGUCCCAUGCCUUCCAAUCUGUUCUCCGAAUUGUGUCCAAAGUAAACUUUAUAAAGUAAUAUCUUUUGUACCAACUCCUGAUAAAAACCCUUCAAUUAUUUCUCCCUCCCUUCAGGAAAAAGUCCAGUCCUUACCCAGGGUUGAAAGAUCCUUUGUAAUGUGACUACUUUGACCUUUGACUUCCUCACUUGUUGCUCCCGCCCUUGUAUUCUCAAUUCUGCAAUACUGAAUUAUCUGAACUUUCCCAUAUUGGCCCUUGAUUUCUCACUUCCCUGUGCCUUGAACCCUCUGCUUCCUUCUGCCCAGAAUGUUCUUCCCUGCUACAGGUUUAACUGCUCAUUACCCUUCAUUUCACAGUUCAGACUUCCCCUUUUCACAAAGUCCUGGUGGAGGCCAGCUGAGUCCAAAGCCUCUUCUUCUCCAAGUUCAGGGUGACAUACCCGUAUCUUAACACAUAGCCUAGUACUUGUCUUUUCUCCCUCCCUUCCCCAUCUCUCCCACUAAACCAGCAACUCAGAGCAAAACCAGCCUUAAUCAUCUCCACAUCACUGGUACCUAGUCCACAUCACUGGUGCCUAGUCCACAUUCAGCCAUAUGUCAACCCACAAAGAAUACUAAAUGGAUGAAGAUCUAGAGGAUGAAUAUAAAUAUUAUAGGUAAGUGAUAAACCUGUGGGGGGGGGGCUUGUAUAGUUUUAUGGAUAAACUAAAACCUAUCUAUCUUAUAGAGCCAAUAGUCUAGGCCUAUCUUAUUCAGUCAUUCAUACUGAUGGACUCAUUAUUUCAUUCAUUGAUUAGCUCAUUUAAUGAAUAUAUAGUUUCUAUGACCCUGGCACUAUGUUAGGUCCUGUGGAACUGGUUAUUUGCAACAGACCUGGUCUACUGCUCUCCUAAAAGCUGACAGCUUCAGUGGGGAGACAGAAGUGGAUCAAUCAUACCUAAAAUCACAUCCUAACAAAAAGGUUCUGAAAGAAGCAGAGUGAGAAAUGAGAAUGUCUAGGAGGAGAACCUGGUGGGAGAAAGGGAGAGAAAGUGUUGGGGAGAGCUCCACAAAAGAUGUCACAUUUUGUGAGAUCUAAAUGUCUUUUGAAAGCAAAUAAAUGUGAAGUUCCCUGUUGGCUCAAUGGGUGAAGGAUCCAGAGUUGUCACUGCUGCGGCAUGGGUGGGUUCAAAUUCUGGUCCAGAACUUCUACAUGCUGUGGGUAUGGCCAAAAAAAUGUUAUUUAUCAGUAAAGAUUUUUUCAAAUGGGCACAGAAGGCAGAACACACUGAGCUAAGCUAAGUGGCACCGACAGUGAAGGAAUACUCAUGCCAGUAGAAACUUAAUACAUACGUGCUCGACCCUUCACCUUAUUUAAGCAAGAUAAUUUUUUUUGAGGUAUAAAGCACGCAGACACCUAUGUAGCACAUUCUGCAGAAUAUGCAAUAGGAUAACACCUCCUGGAACAAUGUCUGAAAUUCUGACUUUUUAGAAGCUCUGACAGCUCA
This 2747-nucleotide long non-coding RNA is filed under the name Sus scrofa (pig). RNAcentral's name for it is "lncRNA (ENSSSCG00050004907.1)". The record is from RNAcentral. Lineage: Eukaryota; Metazoa; Chordata; Mammalia; Artiodactyla; Suidae.